GAUGAACGCUGGCGGCGUGCUUAACACAUGCAAGUCGAACGAUGAAGCCCAGCUUGCUGGGUGGAUUAGUGGCGAACGGGUGAGUAACACGUGAGUAACCUGCCCUUAACUCUGGGAUAAGCCUGGGAAACUGGGUCUAAUACCGGAUAGGAGCGUCCACCGCAUGGUGGGUGUUGGAAAGAUUUAUCGGUUUUGGAUGGACUCGCGGCCUAUCAGCUUGUUGGUGAGGUAAUGGCUCACCAAGGCGACGACGGGUAGCCGGCCUGGGAGGGUGACCGGCCACACUGGGACUGCGACACGGCCCAGACUCCUACGGGAGGCAGCAGUGGGGAAUAUUGCACAAUGGGCGCAAGCCUGAUGCAGCGACGCCGCGUGAGGGAUGACGUCCUUCGGGUUGUAAACCUCUUUCAGUAGGGAAGAAGCGAAAGUGACGGUACCUGCAGAAGAAGCACCGGCUAACUACGUG
This 466-nucleotide ribosomal RNA is filed under the name uncultured bacterium. Its description in RNAcentral is "partial 16S ribosomal RNA". It matches the Rfam family "Bacterial small subunit ribosomal RNA", at positions 28 to 507 of the family's 1533-position model. The record is from RNAcentral.